Long non-coding RNA from Cavia porcellus (domestic guinea pig), 955 nucleotides. RefSeq lists it as uncharacterized. The record is from RefSeq and is a predicted model, not a curated record. NCBI's taxonomy places the organism in Eukaryota, Metazoa, Chordata, Mammalia, Rodentia, Caviidae. The transcript has 3 exons.
GCAGGUCUCCAGGUUGCGGGACCCAGGGCUCCUGAGUGACCAGGGCGAGCCAGGGGCGCUGCGGAAGAGGAAAUGCAAUGAGCACCUUUCGGCUUGGGCCUACGGACUGACCUGUUGCGCGCACAGUCGCACCCGCCCGCCUUACUGAAAUCUCUCUCUUCUUCCCCUUCCCCAGUAUGGUGAGACUUGAACCUGCGAUCCUCCAGCCUCAGCCUCCCUGGCUGGUGUCUCCCGCAGCACCCUGGCUUCAAGGACUACCAUUUUCAUGUUAGGCCCAAAUACGUAGGUGAAAGAGGAGCUUAUCUGCUGAGCUGCCACUGGCAGGUGAAGGAGGGAGAAAUGUUAGCAAAACAAAUAGGAGAGAAACCUUUUUUUCCUAGGCAUGACAGGCUUGGGAAACAAAAUUACUAUCAGUCUCCAGGAAAGAGAGUGAGCUUGUUUAAACAAAAUUAGCUGCCUGUAAAUGCCCUGUGCAGGUAAUUAAGGAGAAAGAAUUGUGUGGAAAAUUAUGCCACUUAAUCUCUUCCCCAGGACACAGGCACCUCCUAGAAAUUCUCUCAGAAAAGUGGAGCUGCAAGUGUGAAACCGUCGCCCAGACUCAGCAGCUGUCCUUCCCGAACAGCUGGCAGCAAGCAGGAGUCUCUGCGGAGAGGCCAGCUGGUACCUCCCCUAGACCACCGCCAGAAGCCCAUAUCUAGGCCCGUUCUCGAGGCUGUGACUCACCAGGGGACUCUUGCCUGGUAACCUUUGAGGAUCUCACGAUGUAUUGGCCUCAGACUCUCAGGGAUCCUUCUGCUUCAGCUCCCACGUACUGGGAUUACAGAAGAAUAGUUUAAAAAUAUUAUUAAUGAGUUUUUCAGGAAGCACCAGGAGGAUGCAUCUAGCAAUUUAAAUACUAAAUCAUAAGAAGCGGGAAGAUGUUACGUUAAGAGGAAUUAAAAUGUCUAUACAAAGA